UCUUCUUUUUCUUUUUUUUAUCAAUGAGUUGAAGGUUGAUAAGUUAGCAUUGAUUAGGGAGACUCAACCUUCCUUGAUUCAAAUCAAAUUCAUCUUGAUCAAUUGAUCAAGUGAAUGGCUUUGCAUUAAGGAUAGGUUGUUUCCUAAAUUAUGCAGAAGACUUAAACCAAUACAAGAUCAAUUCUCUUUUUCUUUUUUGGCAUGGCAAGUUGUUGGAACUUGG
This 223-nucleotide long non-coding RNA is filed under the name Lathyrus oleraceus (garden pea). Its description in RNAcentral is "Pisum sativum (pea) long non-coding RNA (PSAT_LNC026149)". Lineage: Eukaryota; Viridiplantae; Streptophyta; Magnoliopsida; Fabales; Fabaceae. The record is from RNAcentral.